This 495-nucleotide ribosomal RNA is filed under the name uncultured Chloroflexota bacterium. Its description in RNAcentral is "bacterial SSU rRNA". It matches the Rfam family "Bacterial small subunit ribosomal RNA", at positions 355 to 864 of the family's 1533-position model. The record is from RNAcentral. Lineage: Bacteria; Bacillati; Chloroflexota.
UAGGGAAUAUUGCACAAUGGGCGAAAGCCUGAUGCAGCAACGCCGCGUGCACGAUGAAGGUCUUCGGAUCGUAAAGUGCUUUUCUGGGAGAUGAGAAAGGACAGUAUCCCAGGAAUAAGUCUCGGCUAACUACGUGCCAGCAGCCGCGGUAAAACGUAGGAGGCAAGCGUUAUCCGGAUUCACUGGGCGUAAAGCGCGUGCAGGCGGCUCGGUAAGUUGGGCGUGAAAUCUCCUGGCUUAACUAGGAGAGGCCGUCCAAUACUACCGGGCUAGAGAGCAGUAGAGGAAGAUGGAAUUCCCGGUGUGGUGGUGAAGUGCGUAGAUAUCGGGAGGAACACCAGUGGCGAAGGCGAUCUUCUGGACUGUUUCUGACGCUCAGACGCGAAAGCUAGGGUAGUAAACGGGAUUAGAGACCCCGGUAAUCCUAGCCGUAAACGAUGUGAACUUGGCGUCGGUAGCUUAAACACUAUCGGUGCCGCAGCAAACGCGAUAACG